UGACUACUCCCUCCGUUCGGAAUUACUUGUCUCGAAAAUGGAUGUAUCUAGAACUAAAAUAUGUCUAGAUACAUCCAUUUCUGUGACAAGUAAUUCCAAACGGAGGGAGUACAUU
Molecule: non-coding RNA, 115 nt
Organism: Triticum urartu
Lineage: Eukaryota; Viridiplantae; Streptophyta; Magnoliopsida; Poales; Poaceae
Source: Rfam